AUCCGACUGAAGAGUCCCAAAUAGGACGAAACGUGCGUCCUGGAU
RNAcentral lists this non-coding RNA (45 nucleotides) under Schistosoma mansoni. The record is from RNAcentral. Lineage: Eukaryota; Metazoa; Platyhelminthes; Trematoda; Strigeidida; Schistosomatidae.